Oncorhynchus gorbuscha (pink salmon) is the source of this 3294-nucleotide long non-coding RNA. RefSeq lists it as uncharacterized. The record is from RefSeq and is a predicted model, not a curated record. NCBI's taxonomy places the organism in Eukaryota, Metazoa, Chordata, Actinopteri, Salmoniformes, Salmonidae. The transcript is spliced from 2 exons.
ACACACAUUUGUUUUAUCACUGGAUCGUUGAGUGCAGAGAGGAACUUUGGUUGAAGGGAGUUGCAAAGACUAAGGCUUGAAUCAAUCCGUAGCGAAGAAGAUUGCGUUCGAGUGCGGUUGACAUUUAAAGUGUCCUCAAAGCGGAAACAGCUGGCAGAAAGAAAGGAGAAGUCCUAGAUCCCGGGGAGAGAUGGACCCAUCAAGAAGAGGAACACCAGAGAUGCCCCCAUCUCAGAAUUCAGCCCCCAAACGCAGCCCCCAUGAAUGGCACAACACCCUGUGCCCUGGUAUGGGUAGAGCGGAGAAGCACAGAACAAGGAAUCAAAACUGUGUGACCCCAGGGUGGCAAGGUCAAGUCAAGAUCAAUAGUUCAAGCUGACCUCUGGGGCACGAGAAGGGCAAGCAUCAUGUGGGAUAACUUUGUAGAAGUGAGAGAGGGAAGUUGUUUUUGCUAUUGUGUUGACCUGGCACGUGUGGGGGGUUCCCAAGAUGUAGAAUUGUGUUGAUAACUUUCCUUGUGAAUUAAAAGGUGGGAGGAAUUGGUUUGAUGAACAUAGCUGAGGCAGCAAACAAUAUAAAUUGCAGCAAAUGCAGGGGUAGCCCCAACAGUUUCUUGAACCAGGGCCCUGGUAACCUAACAUCUUAGCCGUUACGCCAAGAGAUCUGAACCUCUUUAUUAGGAUGCUAGGUGUUGGUUCCUACUAUAUAUUGCCCAGGAAGUGCACACACCUGGUUUCCCAGGAGUAACAAUGAAUUUAUUACGAUUUACUUAUAACAAAGACUUAUUCAAUAAAUUAUAUAAUAAUAUUUCAUCGCACCUAAAUUAACAUGAUUUAAAAUCCAUUGUAAAUAGUUUUCCAACUCAGAUCAAGGGGCAAGCGAAGAUCGAAUAGGGAAUUUAGGAUUAUCAAUCUGAAAGUUCUAACCUGAAUAUGCACUUAAAAACUCUUGAUCGAUCAACAACAGCCUAUAGGUAAAUGAAAAAAGCUCAUAUACUGUACUUUUGUACAUUGGUGAACCAUUCCUCCUUUGACCUGGACAGCACUCACCCCUCCUUAUUUCAUGUAACUCCUAUGCAUGACUUUCCGCCAGUCUCUGUUCCCUCACACAAAAAACAAAGGGGGAAAGAACACAUUAUGCUUUUUAAUUUGAUUUACCAGUCAAUCAUCGUCAUCCACCCACAGCGUCAGACAUUUUGUUUCCAUCAUCCUCCAAAGGCAAAAUUUCGAGAACAAGUCUGACAUGAUCAGGAACAGGUAAAAGGUGAGCACAAAUUGCCUUUCAAACUUCACAAAUCAAAUCUGGGCAAUGGCUUCUCUAGAGAAGAUGGGCCUAUACUGUAAGUGAAAGCUCAAUCAAGUCUUCCCAGCGCAUUAGACCAUGUACCUUGGUUGCCUGCAGUGCACCUCUCUAUGAGCCUAGGCAGAGUGUAACGAAUUUACCACUGUACAUUACCGCUGUAAUAGGACAGUAGCUUUAGAUGCACCUGGAUGGAGCUGUCGUUCCUGGUUUUGAGCAAUUACCGAAAUUGGACAAGAAGAAAGAAGCGAGGAGCCGUAAUUCUGAAAUGAUUAUCGCAGCCAGGCACACAAUGAAGUAGCUCGUACAAAGGGCUGCCUUCUGCUCAGUUGCAAGAUUGAGUUGUGUUAAGAGUUGUAGACUCGAGUCACAUGUCUUGGACUUGAGUCUGACUCGAGUCACAAAUUUGAUGACUUGAGACUUGACUUGAUAGAAAAUAAAAUAACUUGAGACUUGACUUGGACUUGUAGCCUCAUUGCUGGUCACGUUUUGUAACGUUUUGUCACACAUUUUGUGGCAAAGAGUCUUUGUGGAUUACUCUCCACGAAGCCAGAGACAGUAGCCGCAGCAUCGCCCUUGCAAAAAUACGUGCAACAGAUUGGAUAGUAAAACGCACACUUGGCCCUCUGAUUGGAACAGCAAACUGUCAGUCAACACAGGUCAGGUGAGCUAGCAAACAGAUUGCUGAUUUGCUGUACAUCUAUAGGAGCAGGUGCAGAAAACAUUCAAUUGUAGGGAGAGAGGAUUGCCAUAAUAAGUAAAUAUGCAGCUCCAAAAAUAGUUUGGUGAUCAAGAAGAUGAACUAUUUACUGUGCAAGCUCACCAGCAACGGGGCAUCAAGAAACAAUUAAGUCUACUGGCAUAAACGUACUGGUCUUUUGGUAUGUCAAAAUUGCUUGAAAUAUAUAAUAUACUUAUGAAGCUUGCAUUUAUUACUGUGGACAUAGUCACAGUUCUCCACUUGCGCUCUCAAAACUCCUGCCAGUGGAGAGCGAUUUGUUUUCUUGUUGAUAUGUUUUCUGUUGCUUUCACACAUUUAAAUGCAUAUGUGGUAUAUAUAUUGCAUCUAAUCCUACAAUAAUUGCUAGAGUUUCAUAAUUUCCUCCCCAUACAGUUGAUUGCAACCCUUAGAACAUUUUCAUUUAGUCUACCAUUUCUUACACUCUGGGGGGACAAGAUAUGUAUUGUGCACAUGAACAUUUGUAGAAGUUCUGUAUUUUUAUAGUUUCCCUUGUUCAUAUUUCCUGGGUUAUGUUGGAUUUCCGUUUGUCUGUUUGUGCUUUCAAGACAACUGGGAACUUGGGGGAAAAAACUAGGCCAAAUCAUCAUUUCAGUGAUCUUCAGGUCGGAAAGUUGGAGCUCUAGAAAAAUGGCCAAUAUUCCGACUUGGAAUUCCAAGGUUGGAUGACCAUUCAAAACAUUUUUCCCAGUCGGAGCUCGUUUUUGUUUCAGAGUUCCUAGUUGUCUUGAACGCUCGGAAGUCUGAGUUUUCCCGAGUUCCCAAUUCCCAGUUGGUUUCAACACAGCAUGUGUCCUAUGUCUCUGUCAUUCUGGUUGUGCAUAAUAGGAGCACACAUGCCUCAGUGCGCAUAUCGGCUACAUGGCCUGCGGCGCCACACUUUUGUUGAAUAAAACAAAAUGAUUGUUCCAUGUAUGAAUGGUGAGGAAAUCAAAUCAAUAAUCAUUAUAUCUGCUUAAGACUAAUAUAACAAUGGGUGUGGAAUUUUGAUUUGGUUUCUCGAGGGGAGGCUUUGCCAUCUUGCCCUCUGCCCAUUCAGAUAAGAAAGGUUAAGCCUAAUACAUAAGCUAUUUUGGGCCGUGUAUUUCCUGUAUAAUAUGUCGCUUUUACCUUUGGAUCACCAAGACCUGUAAAUAAAUCUACACUCUGAGCGAGUUCUACUAAAGGUCCCUUUUACAAUUUCAUAAUGAAAAUGUGCUGUAGACAAAAUAAUGAAAACUGCUGUCUGGUAAGCCUCAAUAAAUAGCCUCAAUGUA